Suricata suricatta (meerkat) is the source of this 1116-nucleotide long non-coding RNA. RefSeq lists it as uncharacterized. The transcript has 2 exons. Lineage: Eukaryota; Metazoa; Chordata; Mammalia; Carnivora; Herpestidae. The record is from RefSeq and is a predicted model, not a curated record.
UGUUCUGGUCCGGGCCGUACCACCGCGGCCCAGAUGGGGAGGUUGAAUGUUGGGCCUCGGCGUCCGUCCUCCACCCCUUUGUUCUGCCCGGACCGUAUUCCCAAAGCCGGGUAUGUGAGGGCGAAUGUUCUGGUCCGGAUCGUACGUACGCGGCCCAGUUUAGCGGACUGUGCCUGCAGGCCGGGCUUUUCCUGGGUGAGUGUGCAGGGCUGGCUGUGUGGGGCAGGACCUGGCCCAGAGGUGAUACACCAAGAAAGCAGAAGCGAGAUUCCCGCUGCCCUGCGCGCCCUCCUCAGAACACACGAUGGCGCUGCCUUCGUCAUCCCAAACUUCUGAACAAAGUUCACAUGGUAGGUUUUUCUUGGCACAACCCCCCCUCCGCCCAAGAUGCUUGAUGACUGCCCAGUGGUCCUGGGUUUGGGUGGUCAGUGAGUCCUUUGUAGCCAAAUAAUUUCAGAUGCAAAUUUAUAAAAACUCAAAAUUUUUACAGCAAAAUCUCUUAGGUUUCAUGUGGGGAAACAGUUUUGAAACGAUGUCGUGUGACUCCGGGGACCCUGCCCUCUUGGGCUUCCAGUCGGUCUCUGAGCAGUGCUGUCGGGCCUCCAGCUGCUGCCUAAGGGAGCCGUGCUCCAAGGACGCCCUCCAGAGUUGGUGUCCCGUCCCUUUCUCUUGGUCCUGUCAACAGUUUGUCCCCAAAUAAUCAAAGGAAACACUGCUGCCUGUUAAUGAGCAGUUUCACCACUGGGCCACGUCACUGGGUCAUUCGUGACAAAUGCCACAGCUUCUUCCUUUAACUCGAUUCCAGGAAGCAGAGUUUUGGGUGAGAAAACACAGACUGACCAGGAUGCUCCGUAGUCUGCUUAGCUCAAAUGGGGCCAUUUAAGUAAUGUCUCUGCUAAUUUGCACAUCCCCGUUUCCAGCACAGAUCCCAGUGUAGACAGGAAUCAGGACAUAGGCCUCGUGAAGGAGAUCUGACUGACAAAAGGACUGAAGUCGGGGCUCCCGAGCUCUAGCUGGGGCCUCAGGUGCUCUGCCCAAGCCCUGCCUCCCUCCACAAAGCUGGGGGGGGGGCUCCUGACCUCUAUGACCCUUUUUUGAGAACUCUCUCCUCCUUCA